AUCUCAAUAUUAAAAGAAUGGAGAUCAACCAGGAAAUUUUCUUCAUUCUGGAUACCCCCUCCUCGUGGCUGUUUCUGCAUAGCUCUGACCAGUAGGGAAAACUCAAGCUGCUGGUGUCUGUUCUUUCGUCUCAUUUGGAGUCAUCUCAUGACUGCCGCCUAGCAACUCUAUUUGCCUUGUUCCUGGGAGAUGAUAUACUGAGAGAAAACAGGAGAGCAACUGGUAGUAAGAGGCAAGAAGACAACAAGACCCUAGUCCUGGUUCCAAUUUAGGUGGUGGUGAUGACCUCAAACUUCGUUAAUUAAUAGCACAGCAGAUGUGUGCUGCCCAUCUUUACAUACACAUUGCUUCUAGUUGGCAGAAAUAAUUGAUUAAAAGACCAGAAACUGUGAUAACUGGAGGUACUACGGUCUAUUUCUCAACCUUAGGCAGUAAUAGACAUCACAAACUGCCAUGGUUUUGCACUAUGAUUAUAAUACCUGCAUUUCUAAUUUUUUAAGCAUGUAGCCAGUAAUAAUUUGAAGUUUUUUUCUAUGCAAGCUUACCUUGUUGGCAUUAUUUUAGGGAGUUGAAACUAUCAACUGUAAAGCUCCUUUUCUUCCACUUUAAUUUAAAAGUUCAUGUCAUUUAAAAACAAGUCAAGAAAUUAAAAUUGUAUCAGAGGGUUUUCUCUAAUCAUUUUUUCUAUUUUUUUUUUUGUACUUCUAGAUGUUUUGGUUAUACAGCUUCAUUUUAGACGAGCAUUCUUAUUUUUUGUUUUGUUUGCCCCAUUUCCUUUUGUGUUUUUAUAGUCUAUAGCAUUUUAAAACUGCUGAUGUUGUUUGCAUUAUUUACAGGCUAAAAACUUAGUAGCAUAGAGCUGUCUGCCACAGCCUUCUGACAAAGUUUACAGUUAUUAAAGUUGCAGUAUCCU
This 913-nucleotide small RNA is filed under the name Pan troglodytes (chimpanzee). RNAcentral's name for it is "processed transcript". The record is from RNAcentral. Lineage: Eukaryota; Metazoa; Chordata; Mammalia; Primates; Hominidae.